Long non-coding RNA from Anthonomus grandis grandis, 1966 nucleotides. RefSeq lists it as uncharacterized. The record is from RefSeq and is a predicted model, not a curated record. The transcript has 3 exons. Lineage: Eukaryota; Metazoa; Arthropoda; Insecta; Coleoptera; Curculionidae.
AUAAUAUCAGUACUGCUGAGAAUUAUAUUAUUAUUAUUCUGUAAAUGAUUCUCAUCGAAAUAUUGACAAGAAUUUUCGUGAAGAAGGUUUAAGGCAAAUGUCGACUAGCUUAAUUUUGCAAUUUUGUCAAAAAUGAAGGCAGAUAAGAUCGAUUUUCGAUGACUGAGUGAAAUUAGAAAUUGAUAGUCAUUAAUUUUUAGGAUCUGCUAAUAAAGAUAUCAAUAAAAUACUACAAUUUUUAAUUGAAAAUCCGAACGAGGUGCAAAACGUACUUCACUUCUGCAAAAACAUGGAACCACAUUGGAACAACCAUUGCCACUCCUACACAAAAGAGAAUGCCCUUGCUCUAUUUGUCUCCUUAGGUCUGUCAAAACAGCAAUACAUUAACAUUAGAAAAUCAGCACAAGUUGAACAUUGUAACAUUUAUCCGUCCUACUAUCAGAUCCAGCAAGCGAAACAAGAAUAUUUCCCUCCAAAGUGUUCAAUAAUGGUCACUGAUACAUUUGCAAAAAUAACUCUACGAUCUUUACUGGAUACUACCGCAAGAAGAAUUUUGGAUAUUUCAGAUUGCCGUAAUAAAAUUGAAUGCAAUAGCGAGCUUACGCUCUUUGGAAAAUGUGGUUUUGAUGGUGCAUCAGGACAAAGCGUGUAUAAACAAACCUUUGAUACGAUGAAUGUCAAUGACUCUAGUAUUUUUAUGUUAGCUAACGUUCCAUUAAGGCUAGUUCAUUCCAAUGACCGUACAAAGGUUAUAUCGAAAAAAAUCCAAAACAUUCAUCAAUAUUUUGUUGCAGACCGCUUUGCUUUCAACUUGUAAAAGAAUACAAGGAAAUUAUUUUACGGUGUUCGAAGUCCUUGAAUUAAGAAAAAGCCAUGCUUACCACAACAUUUUUUUCUGGUGGUGUUUCUAUCAAACAUGAAAUUUUUACAACCAUGAUUGAUGGAAAAAUUUGUUCGUGUUUAGCGGGCGCGUCAACAAUGGUCUGUUACAUAUGCAGAGCAAAGCCUAGUGAAAUGAACAAUAUGGAGGUCAUCGAGAAAAAAAUUCCGGACAAGUACGCUUUGGGGCUUUCUACUCUUCACUCUUGGAUCAGAGCUUUAGAAUGUGUGCUCCACAUAUCCUACAAUUUAGAUUUUAAAAAAUGGUCUGCAAGAACUCCCCAAGACAAACAACAAAAGGAAACAAGGAAAAAAGAAAUUCAAAAAAGAUUUAAGGAGGAAAUGGGUCUAUACGUGGAUUUUGUAAACCAAGGGCUAGGUACGUCAAACGAUGGAAACACAGCAAGAAGACUUUUUUAAAAAUUUUGAAAAAUCUGCCGAUAUAACCGGCAUAGAUCAAACUUUAUUAAAAAAGUUUUACAUUAUUCUACAAGUAUUAGCGUCUGGAGAAAAUAUUAUUCCAGAAAGAUUUGAUAAGUUUGCCAAGGAAACAGCUAAAUUCUAUAUAGAGUUGUAUGGAUGGUAGUAUAAUAUUAUAAAUGCCGGCAUCUAUACACAAACUUCUCAUGCAUGGAGCCGACAUAAUAAGAAAUUUUAUAUUCCCUAUAGGUAACCUUUCAGAAGAAGCAGCAGAUGCGAGGAAUAAAUAUUUUUGCCAUUACAGAGAGUUCCACGCAAAAAAAAGUAGUAGGAUAUUUACAAACGAAGAUAUUUUACAUAAUCUAAUUCUCUCAUCAGAUCCAUUCAUAUCUACCAUAAGAUUAAAAUCUGAUAACAAAAAACUAACUAUCAUGAUAGAAGAGGCUCUUUCCUUGAUUAAUAUGAAAACUAAAUUUAUUUAGAUAGUUUCUUGUUAUUUGUUUGUUGUUAUGUUAUGAGAAUAAUAGGUAUGGUAUACUUUAGGUAAAAAUGUAAAUUGUCUUUGUCAAUUCUCUCUAUUCUGAUUGAACAUCAAAACCAGUGAGUGAGUGCUAGUUAUUAAACUCUUGCUCUUGGAAGAAAUAAUAAAAUAUUAACUCUUCAUAUG